This is a non-coding RNA of Parelaphostrongylus tenuis, 73 nucleotides long. The record is from the annotation of a GenBank genome assembly. NCBI's taxonomy places the organism in Eukaryota, Metazoa, Nematoda, Chromadorea, Rhabditida, Metastrongylidae.
GCGUCGGUAGUGCAAUGGUUCAACACGCGCUCUCGGAAAGAGUGAGAUCUGGGUUCGAAUUCCGCCUGAUGCA